UGUAUAUGAUUCCGUCAACCUUUUUUGACAACAAAGCUCAAUAGUCUACAAAGAAAAAUAGCUUUAUGUUAUUGCCAUCAUAAUAUCAACUUCAUGGGCUGCUUCUUCAAACAUGUUAAAAAUUUUCAAAUAUACACCAAGAGCAAUAUGCAGACUUGGUAAAGAAACCUAUGUACAUACACAGCAAUGUGACAUGUCGCACAGUUUAUGCUAUGCGGUUGCCACUCAUUGAAUAAAAGCAGUGUUGUUGUUGUUUUUCUUUUUUUUAAAUUAUUGAUAGUACAACAACAUUUAUGGCAGAUUUUUUCCGGAUGAACAGUUUUUAUUUCUGUCAGCUUAACAAGAAAUACUUGCUCAAUUAUGAUUUUGAUUUUA
Molecule: non-coding RNA, 375 nt
Organism: Hydra vulgaris (swiftwater hydra)
Lineage: Eukaryota; Metazoa; Cnidaria; Hydrozoa; Anthoathecata; Hydridae
Source: RefSeq, a predicted model, not a curated record